This 460-nucleotide ribosomal RNA is filed under the name uncultured bacterium. RNAcentral's name for it is "partial 16S ribosomal RNA". It matches the Rfam family "Bacterial small subunit ribosomal RNA", at positions 338 to 795 of the family's 1533-position model. The record is from RNAcentral.
CCUACGGGAGGCAGCAGUGAGGAAUAUUGGUCAAUGGACGAGAGCCUGAACCAGCCAAGUAGCGUGAAGGAUGACUGCCCUACGGGUUGUAAACUUCUUUUAUAAGGGAAUAAAAUGAUGCACGUGUGGGUUUUUGUAUGUACUUUAUGAAUAAGGAUCGGCUAACUCCGUGCCAGCAGCCGCGGUAAUACGGAGGAUCCGAGCGUUAUCCGGAUUUAUUGGGUUUAAAGGGAGCGUAGAUGGGUUGUUAAGUCAGUUGUGAAAGUUUGCGGCUCAACCGUAAAAUUGCAGUUGAUACUGGCAGUCUUGAGUACAGUAGAGGUAGGCGGAAUUCGUGGUGUAGCGGUGAAAUGCUUAGAUAUCACGAAGAACUCCGAUUGCGAAGGCAGCUUACUAGACUGCAACUGACAUUGAUGCUCGAAAGUGUGGGUAUCAAACAGGAUUAGAUACCCUGGUAGUC